GGUUACUGAUGAGAAUCAUUUGGGUGCAGCCAAGUGGCCUCCCCGCAAAAAGGAUGGUGGCAAAGAUGGGGACAUAGAUAUAAAGAUUGAGAAGCAGAAAAUAGACGGUGGGAAAUGUCGACUCUAUAGAGGACGCAGAUCCAGGAAGCAGGAUUUGACAUACUAACAAACGAGGAGAGAACCCUGACAGAGGCAGAAAUGCAAGUGUUCUAUUCGCACAGAGCCAGAGAGGUCAGCUGAUCUGCUUCUGUUGGUCCAUCUCAUUCUCUCUUCUCUCCUCCUCCAAUGCUCUGGUGUUAGGUUGAUAGAAGCUCAGGGGAAUAACAAGAACAUGCAGGUGGGUGGGUAAUGAAUUUGCACUCCGAAUAUGAUCAGGGCCUGUAGCUCACAAGUACCGAGGCUGCAAGGAAACUGUGUUAACAGCCAGCAAUGGAAUAAAGAUGUCUAUUCGAAGGAUGCUUCACAACUCCCAGAACUGAUGACAGGGAAUGAAAAGGGUUAAUGAGAGUGCUUGGAGAGAAGAGGAACCAAGAAAAUUCUAGGGCCCACAGAAGCCAAAGCCUUAGGCAAACCAUUCAAGUUGUCGCUACCUACCACUUAAGGUCCACUUGCUUUUUCUGCUUGCUUAUGAUUAUGAUUUGCCUACUUACGAUUUGGGGAGAAUGGCCGAUGGCUCUUAGGCCAUCAUCCCGCUUCCUAGGUCAGAGGUGUGACAGUUGCUAAGCGUCACGGUUGUGAAAUGAACAAAUUGAAGAGGGGUCUUCCCCGAAGGAAACUGGAAGCAUUGGUGUUGAAGGAGAAGGGCUGCAGGGUAUGGGGAGGAGAAGUGCCAUCUACACUGUGCCCUUGGAGACCCAACACCCACGUAUUACAUAUCCAAACAUAUCAUUCUUUUAGCAUGCCACUACCCAACUUAACUCAUGUUCCACCAUGGCUCACCUUCCUGGGGUCCUGGGGUGUGGCUGGUCAUCACCACAGCAGGCAGAGGUGGUCGGAUCAUGGCUGAGUGUCCACGAGCUCACAAGGCUGCUUACUGACUGUCCCUUCCAGUCCGUGGGUAGUCUGGGUGUGCAGGUCUGUUUCAGGUCUCCGUAGCUCCCACCCAAGGUCACCAUUUCCUCACCCGUGUCUAGGAGGCAUUUGAGAAGCUAGUACACCAUAUGUGUAGUGGACCCAGCCACCACCUGAUCCUCACCAAGACCGAGGGCACCGAGGACGUAGUCACUGCUUGGCAAAACUUCCUGGGACCUUGUGACCCUGAUGUGGCCAGGAGGGAACAACCCGAAAGGUGACAACUUUCACCUGUGAUCCUUUCAGCCAUCGCAAGCUUCAUUUAGUGUUUGGUUCAGAAUUGUAGGUGAUGCUGUCAGCUCUCUGGUGGCCAGGAGGUGGCCUUUCUAUAUAUCUGGGAAGUUUUUGACAUCUUCCUACUCUGAGUUUCUCAGACUCCCCAAUGUGUGAUCCCCUGCCCCCAUGCUUUCUAAAGGCUGCUGCCGAGGUUGGCUCA
This 1507-nucleotide long non-coding RNA is filed under the name Rattus norvegicus (Norway rat). Its description in RNAcentral is "long non-coding RNA NONRATT027971". The record is from RNAcentral. Lineage: Eukaryota; Metazoa; Chordata; Mammalia; Rodentia; Muridae.